AUUGCAGGCCUUCUUAUCGCUCCGCUUCAGCGGAGAGGAAAGUCCGGACACCAUAGCGCGGCAUAGCGGGUAACUCCCGUCGCUCCGAUUUAUCAGAGUAGGACCAGUGCAACAGAAAGCAAGUACAGUUCGGCUGUAGUGAAACCAGGCAAACUCUAUGCGGUGAAACGCCAUGUAAACCAACGUUUAGGACAGCGCGUCCAAGUUGGAGGGUAGGCGGAUUGAGCGUUGCAGUAAUGCAUCGCCUAGAUUAAUGAUAAGGCACGACAGAAUCCGGCUUAUGGCCUGCUUUUUAU
RNAcentral lists this RNase P RNA (296 nucleotides) under Flavobacteriaceae bacterium. Its description in RNAcentral is "RNase P RNA component class A". It matches the Rfam family "Bacterial RNase P class A". Rfam says of the family: Ribonuclease P (RNase P) is a ubiquitous endoribonuclease, found in archaea, bacteria and eukarya as well as chloroplasts and mitochondria. Lineage: Bacteria; Pseudomonadati; Bacteroidota; Flavobacteriia; Flavobacteriales; Flavobacteriaceae. The record is from RNAcentral.